RNAcentral lists this ribosomal RNA (442 nucleotides) under uncultured bacterium. Its description in RNAcentral is "partial 16S ribosomal RNA". It matches the Rfam family "Bacterial small subunit ribosomal RNA", at positions 338 to 795 of the family's 1533-position model. The record is from RNAcentral.
CCUACGGGUUGCAGCAGUGGGGAAUAUUGGGCAAUGGGCGCAAGCCUGACCCAGCAACGCCGCGUGAAGGAAGAAGGCUUUCGGGUUGUAAACUUCUUUUAAGGGGGAAGAGCAGAAGACGGUACCCCUUGAAUAAGCCACGGCUAACUACGUGCCAGCAGCCGCGGUAAUACGUAGGUGGCAAGCGUUGUCCGGAUUUACUGGGUGUAAAGGGCGUGCAGCCGGAGAGACAAGUCAGAUGUGAAAUCCACGGGCUCAACCCGUGAACUGCAUUUGAAACUGUUUCCCUUGAGUGUCGGAGAGGUAAUCGGAAUUCCUUGUGUAGCGGUGAAAUGCGUAGAUAUCUGGAGGAACAUCAGUGGCGAAGGCGACUAUCUGGCACAUAACUGACGCUGAGGAGCGAAAGCGUGGGUAGCAAACAGGAUUAGAUACCCGAGUAGUC